RNAcentral lists this ribosomal RNA (254 nucleotides) under uncultured bacterium. RNAcentral describes it as "partial 16S ribosomal RNA". It matches the Rfam family "Bacterial small subunit ribosomal RNA", at positions 524 to 776 of the family's 1533-position model. The record is from RNAcentral.
UACGAAGGGGGCGAGCGUUGUUCGGAUUUACUGGGCGUAAAGGGCGCGUAGGCGGUCAGCACAAGUCAGUUGUGAAAUCUCCGAGCUUAACUCGGAAAGGUCAACUGAAACUGUGCGACUAGAGUGCAGAAGGGGCAACUGGAAUUCUUGGUGUAGCGGUGAAAUGCGUAGAUAUCAAGAGGAACACCUGCGGCGAAGGCGGGUUGCUGGGCUGACACUGACGCUGAAGCGCGAAAGCCAGGGGAGCGAACGGG